This 255-nucleotide ribosomal RNA is filed under the name uncultured bacterium. Its description in RNAcentral is "partial 16S ribosomal RNA". It matches the Rfam family "Bacterial small subunit ribosomal RNA", at positions 74 to 334 of the family's 1533-position model. The record is from RNAcentral.
CAAUAUAAGUGAUGGCGACCGGCGCACGGGUGAGUAACACGUAUCCAACCUGCCGAUAACUUGGGGAUAGCCUUUCGAAAGAAAGAUUAAUACCCAUGGUAUAAUAAAACCGCAUGGUUUAAUUAUUAAAGAAUUUCGGUUAUCGAUGGGGAUGCGUUCCAUUAGGCAGUUGGUGAGGUAACGGCUCACCAAACCUUCGAUGGAUAGGGGUUCUGAGAGGAAGGUCCCCCACAUUGGAACUGAGACACGGUCCAA